GGCUGUGGAGGGGGGGGGUGGAGGAGCCGGCCGCCCCUCCGCCGCCGCCGCCGCCGGUGGCUUCGCGAGCUUCCCGCGUCCGCGCGAUGUUUGGCCGGCGCUCCGGCGGCGAUGGGGCUCGGCGCGCGGGGCUGCCAAGCGGGGCCGCCGGCAGCAGCAGCAGCAGCAGCAGCAGAUCCGUCCCCGGCCCCCGCAGCAGCAACGGCCCGCUCCUCUCCAGCCCCCGCCGGGCGCCCGGCUCGCCUUGAGAGCGCCGGGCUGCGCAGGCGGCGGCGGCUCCAGCGGGCGUAGGCGGCCGCUGCCCUUGCGCGCCUCCCCGGAGGAGGCGGCGGCGGCGGAGGAGGAGGACCGGGAGCCGGGAGGAGAGGCCAGCGGCCCGAGGGCGGCCCGCUGCGGGCUCCGGGCUCCCUCCUCCUCCUCGGCCGCCGUUGCCGCGCCUGGAGUGGCCCGGGGCCCGGCCAUGUCCGCCUUCUGCUUGGCGGGACCCCUUUCAGCACCUGCCGAGCUGGACAGCGCCUGCCGCAUGGAGCGCCCGGGAAGCGCCGCGCCGGCCCCGCCGCCCACGACGGCCGGGCAAGAGACAGGCGGGCCGGCUGCGCUUCUUCCGGCGGCGGCGGCGGCGGCGGCGGCGGCCUCCCCGUCGGUGGGCGGCGAGCUGGAGCUGGCGCUGGAGGAGGAGCUGGCCCUGCUGGCCUCGGCCGGGGAAGGGCCCAGGGAGGCCGAGGCGCAGGACCCGGCGGCGUUGCCGCCAGCCGAGCCGGAGCUGCUGUCGCUGAUGAGGCAGAAGGAGAAGGACCUGGUGCUGGCCGCCCGGCUGGGCAAAGCCUUGCUGGAGCGCAAUCAGGACCUGAGCCGCCAGUACGAGCGCAUGUACAAGGAGCUGACCGAGAAGCUGGAGCACCUGGAGCAAGAGAAACAUGAGCUGCGGCGACGCUUCGAGAACAAGGAAGGCGAGUGGGAAGGCCGCGUCUCGGAGCUGGAGAGCGACGUCAAGCAGCUGCAGGACGAGCUGGAGAAGCAGCAGGUCCACCUCCGGGAAGCUGACCGGGAGAAGACGCGGGCGGUCCAGGAACUAUCUGAACAGAACCAAAGACUCUUGGAUCAGCUCAGCAAGGCGUCGGAAGCAGAGCGAAAGCUCUCCACACAGGUUCAUGUCCUCCAAGAGGACUUCAGGGAGAAGAGGUCAUCCACCAACCAGCACAUAGUACGGCUUGAGAGCCUUCAAGCAGAGCAAAUCUUGGAAAUUAAGAUGCUGAGGGAUCGGAAGCAGGACCUGGAGCGCCGUCUCAGCGCCAUGGUGGAGGAGAACAAUCUGCUCCAGGGGACGGUGGAGGAACUUCAAGAUCGUGUCAUAAUUUUGGAACGGCAAAGCCAUGAAAAAGACACACAGUUGCACCAGAGCCAGAUGGAGCUUCAAGAGGUGAAACUGUCAUAUCGGCAGCUGCAGGUCAAGAUGGAGGAGCUGAAUGAGGAACGAAGCCUCCAAGACUUCAACUCCACCAGGAUGUCUUUGCUGUCAGAGAUCGAACAGAGCAUGGAAGCAGAGGAGCUGGAACAAGAACGAGAACAGUUGAGGCUGCAGCUUUGGGAGGCCUAUUGCCAAGUCCGCUACUUGUGCACCCACCUCCGAGGGAACGACAGUGCGGAUUCUGCUGUCUCCACUGACUCUUCCAUGGAUGAGUCUUCCGAAACCUCGUCAGCCAAAGACGUGCCGGCCGGCAGCCUGCGGGCUGCGCUCAGCGAACUGAAGAGGCUGAUCCAAAGCGUGAUUGACGGCACGGAUUGCCUGGGUUCUCGGCGAAGUGACGACGAUGCUUUGGAAGAACAAAUCAAGCAAACGAGUGAAGAUUCGAGAGCCCUGAGGGAGUUAAUGGAAGGCGAGCGGGGGAAACUGAGGCAGAGUCUGGAAGAGCUACAGCAGCUUCACAGCCAGGUGACUCUGUUGAGCGUAGAAAUGACGUCGCUGAAAGAGGAAAGAGACCGACUCCGGGGAUCGGCAGAAGAUAAGGAGAUGAGUGAGCAGCUCUUGAAGGCUAUCAGAGAUCGAGAUGAAGCAAUCUCCAAGAAGAACGCUGUCGAGAUGGAGCUGGCCAAAUGCAGAAUGGAUAUGAUGUCCUUGAACAGCCAGCUGUUGGAUGCCAUUCAACAGAAGCUUAACCUUUCGCAGCAGCUGGAAGCCUGGCAGUUUGCUUCUUCAGGCCUUUUCACUAUUUGGCUUCUCUGGUUUCUGAUCUAGUGGCCUUUAUCACUUCCCGUAACAACAGCUUUAGUCGUACACCCCUCCUGCCUUUAAGGAUGACAUGCAGAGGCUCAUCGACCAGCAGCUGAUGGACAGACAUCCUAAGGAAUGGAGCCAGAUAAUGAUGUGCAACUUCACCAGCAGCAGCAGCCACGGAGCCAAGCGUCGCGCCC
Molecule: RNA transcript, 2412 nt
Organism: Crotalus tigris (Tiger rattlesnake)
Lineage: Eukaryota; Metazoa; Chordata; Lepidosauria; Squamata; Viperidae
Gene: BICDL1
Gene name: BICD family like cargo adaptor 1
Exons: 12
Source: RefSeq, a predicted model, not a curated record